RNAcentral lists this long non-coding RNA (1872 nucleotides) under Sus scrofa (pig). Its description in RNAcentral is "lncRNA (ENSSSCG00030040827.1)". Lineage: Eukaryota; Metazoa; Chordata; Mammalia; Artiodactyla; Suidae. The record is from RNAcentral.
UCGCGUACCGCGAUUUCACUGGACCGUCAAUCUCCUCAGGGCAUCGUAAGAGCCUGUACGUUUGACCCCUCAGCUUCAGGCCACUGUCACAGGAGGCAGGUUUGACAGGGCUCCAGAUGCUGAGAUGCGUGAGUUGUAUGCUGGAUUUCUGAAGAAUGAGCAAAGCGGUCGUGCACACAGGUGGUCUUACUAGACAAGCACAGGUCACUAGACCAGAGAGGACAGGUAACCAGCAGGGCCAAGACUUUCUUCCAGAAUUCCUGGUUGUGCCUGUGGAAUGUUUCUAAAGCCUCCAGGGUGAUGGCGCUGUUCCGCUCUGAUUCUGUGUCACACGCCCUGGUCCCCACGGCACCCCCUGAGGUGUAAACCCCUUGCCUGUCCCCUUGCUCUCUUGAUGCCUACCCCCCGUUCCACCUCACCUUUGUUCUGUGUAGUAGCCUACGCGGGGUUAGGGGGUUGGGGUAAAACCCCCCUGUCUGCAAAGGCUCCUAGGGAGCGACAGCGAGUAAAGUGCCUGAGAAACACUGCAUUAGUCCUAGGCCAGCUUAAAUCAAUUCGAAGUCAGUGGACCCAGUAAUUUCCAAGGAUGGCAUUUAAUCAGUUCAAGGGUGAUUUUCUGCAGCAUCCCUCCCUUUCCAGCCAGAGAAGGUGCCGUGCUUGGGGGGGGGGGCACCCCUGCUUAAAUGCCUCCCCCCAUUUAAUACGGGACACCCGCUGUCUCCAGCUCUAUAACCUGAAUCCCAUCUGCAAAGUCGUUUUCCCAUGAGAGGGACCCCAGGCACAGGUCCUGGGGAGUAAGGCCUGGGCCUCUUAGGAGUUCCUGGGGCCCGCUGCCAUGCCUCAUCUCAGCCUCAGUUCUCCCACUCACCAAACAUGGAUAGGAGUGUCAGCCUUAAUGAGAUUAUUGCUCUGGAUGCAGGAGGAAGGCUUACUCCAGGCAGGCCCCCAGCUCUCUCCCUCUGCAUUCUUUUUUUUUUUUUUCAUGGUUUAAAAUACAUAUUUAAUGAUGGGUAAAUACACCAAUGAUCAGAAAAACUGAAGAGUGCCAUUCUCAUUACAAUGUGAUAUGAAAGUGCUGUGGAAAGACAUUUCAUAAAGCAAAAAGUCAAGUUUAAUUUUACAAAAACUGACACCAUUAAAACCAAUGUGAUUAUUUGCCCCCAUCCAGUCACUGAGCUUACAAUAUUAUAAAAAUAUGUUAAAAAGUUGUUUCUUCAUGUAAAAAAAAAACCCAGUGUGUUUCAUAAUUAUCAGAGAUGCUCAUUCCCAUACAGCUAGUAUAAAUUUGAUUAUUAGAAAAUCCUUUGAGCGAGGCCAGGGGCCAAACCCGCAACCUCAUGGUUUCUAGUCAUAUUCAUCUCCGCUGCGCCACAAUGGGAACUCCAAUUUAUUUUUCUAAUCCAUUCUCGGAGGCAAAUAGAAUAGGAUUUCAGAGUGCAUCCUGGGUACUACCUAGAGCCAUUGCCCAUUUUUGGAAGUUUAUUGGGUAUCCCAUUUGGGGGCUUCACCUCUUCUAUGGAUUUACUCAGCCUUUUUGUGGUGGCAAGCUUGUGAGAGGCAUCUAAAGUCACGGGUGUCCCUGCUGGUGCUGCCUCCCAGAGGUUCUCUACCUCUGAUGGUUCUAGAGCUAACUUUCAACGCCCUAAGUCUUAGAAAAAAAAUGAUCAGAAUGUAUCUGAUUGUUGGGUCGAAUGAUUGUGCAUGAUUGCCUCUGGCUAUCGACCAGGGUUGCAUCAUUUCAGCCAGUUUGUUUCACUGUUCUUGAUUGCCUGUAUGUGCGUCUUUUCUUUGCAUUCUUCUUCGGAUCAGCUGUAACAUCUUACUGGUUCCCUCACCAGUUAAUUUAAUGGAAUAAAAGGUUUGACACUUGUU